GGUGGAAUGGUGUAGAGGUUAGCACACCCGACCGGGCAUUGGGGGGCCAGAGUUCAAAUCCUGGCUCCGCCG
Molecule: transfer RNA, 72 nt
Filed under: Ixodes scapularis (black-legged tick)
Lineage: Eukaryota; Metazoa; Arthropoda; Arachnida; Ixodida; Ixodidae
Rfam family: tRNA
About the family: Transfer RNA (tRNA) molecules are approximately 80 nucleotides in length. Their secondary structure includes four short double-helical elements and three loops (D, anti-codon, and T loops).
Source: Rfam by way of RNAcentral